CCUACGGGGGGCUGCAGUGGGGAAUAUUGCACAAUGGGGGAAACCCUGAUGCAGCAACGCCGCGUGAGCGAUGAAGGCCUUCGGGUCGUAAAGCUCUGUCCUAAGGGAAGAAUACUGACGGUACCUUAGGAGGAAGCCCCGGCUAACUACGUGCCAGCAGCCGCGGUAAUACGUAGGGGGCUAGCGUUAUCCGGAAUUACUGGGCGUAAAGGGUGCGUAGGCGGCCCUUCAAGUCAGAGGUGAAAGGCUACGGCUCAACCGUAGUAAGGCUUUGAAACUGUAGGGCUUGGGUGCAGGAGAGGAGAGUGGAAUUUCCAGGGUAGGGGUUGAAUGGGUUGAUAAUGGGAGGAAACACAGUUGCGAAGGGGGGUUUUUUGGCUGUAACCGACGGCGGGGGCACAAAGGGUGGGGAGCGAACAGGAUUAGAUACCCGUGUAGUC
This 440-nucleotide ribosomal RNA is filed under the name uncultured bacterium. RNAcentral's name for it is "partial 16S ribosomal RNA". It matches the Rfam family "Bacterial small subunit ribosomal RNA", at positions 338 to 795 of the family's 1533-position model. The record is from RNAcentral.